CAUCCCAAACAGGUCCGAGUUUUCCCGAAACAUGACCAGCAGCUUCAGCCUUUCUCAACACCAAAUCUCCAACUCUGAAUCUUCGUGGCCUCACCCUUCUAUUGAAAUACUUAGCUGUUUUAUCUUGGUAAGAGGCUAAUCUUAAGGUUGCCUAGUUACGAACUUCUUCUAAGAGGUCAAGAUGAUCAGUGGUGUGCCCUGCUUCUUCGAGAUUAAGUCUUCUAUGGUUGGGUAAUCUUAUUUCAAUGGGAAUUGUAGCUUCGAUUCCAAAAGCUAACAUGAAGGGAGUCUCCCCGGUAGCAGUCCUGUGGGAUGUUCUAUAUGUCCAUAGUAUGGAAGACAAUUUGUCGGACCAAGAACCUCUUGCAUCUCUUAUCCUUGUUCGGAGGUCUUGCAAUACGAUCCAAUUGGUGACCUCGGCUAGGCUAUUACUUUAGGGAUGAGAAAUUGACGUCAGGCGAUGGUCAACCCCUAGGUUGGAACAGAAAUCCUUGAAUUGUAUAUUGUCAAACUGCCAGCCAUUAUUAGUUAUGAGAACCUUUGGUAUCCUGAACCUGCAUAUGAUGGACUUCUAAACAAAAGUUCUUAUCUUAGGCUCUUAGAUCGUUGCCAGGGGCUCGGCCUCAACCCACUUUAUAAAGUACUCCACUGCUACAAUUACAAACUUCAAUUAUCCUCUAGUUAUUGGAAAUGGGCCGAGGAUAUCGAUCCCCCAUUGCUCAAACGGGGCUGAGCAACAAAUGUUGGUAAGGUCCUCUGCGGGAGAACGGAUAACGUUGCCAAACCUCUGGCACUUAUCACAUUUCUUCACAUAUUCCACGACAUCAUUCUUCAUGGUAGACCAGUAAUACCCAUACCUUAAGAGUUUGAAGGCUAAUGCCCGAGCUCCUUGAUAGUUCCCGCAUACCCCUUCAUGAACUUCCUCUAGGGUUUGGGAGGAUUCCGAAGGCUUAAGGCACCUAAGGUACGGAAGUGUGAGGCUUUUGCGAAACAAGACCCCAUCAAUAAUGCGAUAUCUUGGAGCUUUUGACCAGACUCUCCUUGAUGCUCGAGGGUCUUCUGGAAGAUUUCCAUUUGUUAUAAAGUCCACAAUUGGGUCCAUCCAUGAUGGCUUGUGAUCAAUGUCCAUGACCCCAACAGUUGAAUUGAUGCUAGGCUUAGUCACAAAUUUGACAUGUACUGUUCUGUCAAGUCCAUCUAUUCCCAUGAAUACCAGCCUUGAUAAGGCAUCUGCCUUGCAGUUGUCAGCUCGGGCAAUCUUCACAAUUUC
Molecule: long non-coding RNA, 1270 nt
Filed under: Olea europaea subsp. europaea
Lineage: Eukaryota; Viridiplantae; Streptophyta; Magnoliopsida; Lamiales; Oleaceae
Source: RNAcentral